CAAAGUGUUUAUUAACAAAAGGAAAACUGUAUCUUAAUUUGAAAUUAUAUUUAAAAUAAACAUAUCACUAAGUUUCUAUAUGUAUCAGAAAUGAGAAAAAUAUUAUAGUGUUUAAGGCUAACAUCCUUUUUUAGCUUUUAUUGAAAGUUGUUCAAAUAUAAUAUAUAUUUUUUGAGAGGCAGUGUUAGUGAUCUAGGAACUCCUAGACUGAUAGACUAGAAAAGAAUGUGGCUAGAUUAACAUUGCCAAGCAUAGAGUUUAUGUUUUAUUAUGUUGAUGUUUUGUUAUAUAAUUAUAAACAUGCACAGGUUUCUGCAUGAAAAGAUAUUAAUAUAUUAAUCACAUGUGCGUGCCUUUUGGUUACAUGCACUAAAUCUAACAAAGUUAAAUUAUUUUGGUGGCUCUUUUGGCCUCCUACUAGGUGAGGUGGUCUUGUUUUUAGUUCUAAAAAGUUUCUUUGCACAAAAUUUCGUUUUUAAGAAAUGUAUCUUUUGACUGAAUUAUUGUUUUGAAAAUGUUAUAUAGGUUUUCAAUAGGUCAAUAACCAUAUGUAAAUGGUUUUUUAUAAAUUUCUCAAUUUGGGGACAAUAUUUUUUUGUGAUCUAAAUUGUGGACUUAUUCUUUACUUUGUAAGUGUAUAUAUAUAUAUGUAUAUAUAUAUAUAAAUAUAAUUUUUUCUUUGCAACACUGGAGCACAAUGUUUCUAUGUAAAGAAUUCUUUUCUUUAUCCAUGAGCACCAGGCUUUGCUCACUUAAAAAUAAGCCACAUUAAGGAGUGAGUCUUCUUUUUUUACAAUAAUGUAAAAAUGAACUGUUUACAUUUUUUUAAAGCAUUGUAGUUUUUAAAAAUUAAGCUGUUUUGUUUUGUGUUGUUGAAUUUGAAAGGCUUUGUAAAUAUCAAUAUAAUGUACCAAUGAAAUAACAUCUGGGACAAUGGAACCCUGGUAAUGUUGUUGAUGGUUUGCAUAUGUUUCUGAAACUGAAAUAUGUAUCAUUAAAGUUGGUCAUCAACACUUGUUAAAGGUGAGUUAUUUUCAGAUGACUUUAGUAAAUCAAGAGAUGCAAGAAAAAUAAAUUAUUGUCUUAAAAAGACUUUAAA
Molecule: long non-coding RNA, 1099 nt
Filed under: Rattus norvegicus (Norway rat)
Lineage: Eukaryota; Metazoa; Chordata; Mammalia; Rodentia; Muridae
Description: long non-coding RNA NONRATT030742
Source: RNAcentral